UCUAUAGACACUGGAUAGAAAGGAGGAA
RNAcentral lists this non-coding RNA (28 nucleotides) under Rattus norvegicus (Norway rat). Lineage: Eukaryota; Metazoa; Chordata; Mammalia; Rodentia; Muridae. The record is from RNAcentral.